This is a long non-coding RNA of Rhipicephalus microplus (southern cattle tick), 522 nucleotides long. RefSeq lists it as uncharacterized. The record is from RefSeq and is a predicted model, not a curated record. Lineage: Eukaryota; Metazoa; Arthropoda; Arachnida; Ixodida; Ixodidae.
ACUGCAGAUGUCGCUCGUGCUGUUCCGUGCGCGAUGCUUCGUCGUUAUAGACAUGAGCGUUGAACACUGUAUGUGAGCCUCCAGCAUUUCGCCUUCACCGAGUUGCUUCUGUCGCCGUCGGCAUCGAAUCCAUUACUCUCAGAUCUUGAAAGGGACGUCACGAAGGACAUUUUUUGUUUGUGAAGGAUUUCUAGCAGUAUACCCGGCCGAGGGGAGAAGCAGUGGUGAAAGGGGUGAUGCCACAGCGUAUCGUCAUGCAAAAGGAGGAGGAAGGACAAGGAGGUUAGCCAUAACAUGCAAGAGCACGCCCCACGGAAGCUAUUAGCUCCGAAAAAUUGGAGUGGCACCACCUGGUGAUAUGCCUGGAUGACGUCCCGGCAAGGAUGCUUCGACGUGUACUGAAGCGUGCCUACUUAACAUGCGCUCGCAUCGUACUUUCUUCUGCUUUUCGCUUGACUCAAGCUUGAGAUGAAUGGCGAAAUAAGCAUUGAUAAUGCUCCUAAUAAAACGACGAAAAACUCU